UCUGGCAGCAAUAGCGGAGAGGUUACACCCGUUCCCAUUCCGAACACGGAAGUUAAGUCCUCCAGCGCUGAUGGUACUUG
This 80-nucleotide ribosomal RNA is filed under the name Caldisalinibacter kiritimatiensis. The record is from RNAcentral. Lineage: Bacteria; Bacillati; Bacillota; Tissierellia; Tissierellales; Thermohalobacteraceae.